Orcinus orca (killer whale) is the source of this 7648-nucleotide long non-coding RNA. RefSeq lists it as uncharacterized. The record is from RefSeq and is a predicted model, not a curated record. Lineage: Eukaryota; Metazoa; Chordata; Mammalia; Artiodactyla; Delphinidae. The transcript has 6 exons.
AUAUUGGUCUGGGAGGGAGAUGAUGGUGGCUUGGACUAGGGACUUUGGAGUGGAGACAGAGAGGGGGAAUUUGAGAGGGAUUUUGGUGGUAGAAUCUUGACAUUAAAGUGCAAGGGACUUGUUUUUCCUUCGCUGCAGAAAAACCUUGCUGCUUCUGCUGCUUCUCAUCAUGUAUUUUUCUCCCCUUAUAAUUCCUUUGCAUUUUUAUUAUCCAUGCUGUUGAAACUCCCCUAACAGUAAUUCAACCUGCUACUACUACUACAGCAUUGAGGGGAGUUAUUUAUAAAAUUCAGUCAUCUUAAGUGGGACGCAAUUUCUGGACCAAAUUCUACUACAAAGAUUGCCUGCCUGCCAGCUCCCUGAUGCUCCUAAUUCUCAGUAUUUUCCCAUCACCCUUUACAGCAGGGGUUCUCAACAAUGGCGCAGUCAACAUUUGGGGCAGAUAAUUCUUUGUUGUGGGGGCCUGUCCUGUGAAUUAUACGAUGUUUGGCAGCAUCCCUGGCCUCACUCACUGGAUGCCAUUAGUGCCCUCCCACCCCAAUUGUGCCCACAACAAAAAUGUCUCCAGGUAUUGUCUAAUAUCCCCUAGGGAAGUGGGGAGAGACUAACCCCCACCAUUACCCCCAGUGAGAACCACUGGUCUCUACAAGUUCAGGGAAAGCCCUGUCCCUGGGGCUGAGCUAAUGGGAAUUCAGAUUCCAUCUCCUCCUCCCUUCUGCAUACUCCUUGUGGGACACACACACACACACACACACACACACACACACACAGACAGACACAUACACGUCUAGUAUAAUGAAAGCUCUCUGAGUUCCCUUUGACUUGUUGUCCUGUCUGUGUUGAAUGUGGAACAACAUGGCUUAAGAGAGUCCUGGUCAGUCGUGUGUCCACCAGGCAAGUGACUGAACAACUCAACUCCCAUCACUACUUACCCAUCACUGCUUCUCCUCAGCCUAUCUGCAGAACAUGUUCUUGCCAGGACUAGCUGUCUUUAAAGCCAAGCUUAAGUCUCACUUCUUCCAUGAAUCCUUGUUGGCCUGUUCAACUUCCUGUGGCUGGUAGGGGCAGUUGAAUGACUGUUUAAUUCAUUCAUUCAACAAAUAUUUACUGAGCCCCUACUAUGUGUCGGGCAUUGUUCUGAGUCCUGGAAAUACAGCAAUCAACAAAUCAGAGUGUCUACUCUCAUGAACUUACUAGAAGGGAAGAGACAAUGAAUGAAUGAAUGAAUGAAUGAUGUAGUGUGGGGGCAUAAAUGUAGGGGUUUGGACGGAUCAAUAGUCUAUCCCCCAUGUGUGGUAGGUAGUUUCCAAAGAAGGCCCUUCCCUCCCUGUAUGUGCAGACUGCUCUUUACAUCAAGAUGCUGGGAUGGCUCUGUGACUGCAUCAACCAAUAGGAUUCAGUAGGAGUGAUAUUCCAGGGCUUCUAUGACCAAGAAGAAGACUUAAGAAGACUGUUGGCUCCUACUUCCUUCCUCUUGGAACACUUGCUUUUGGAACAGUCCCACUUGGAACCUAGUUGCCAUGCCAGGAGGAAGCCCAAGCCCAAGCAGCUAUGUGGAGGAGAGCCAAGCCCCGCCCACCCCCCCCACCCCCCCAGCAGACAGCCCCAGAUGAGCUCCCAGCUAGUGGCCAGCACCAAACACCAGCCAUGUGAGUGAGGCCAUUUGGGACCUUCCAGCCGGUCCAGCAUUCCAGCUGACAACCUGGGAAGCAAAAGAACUAUCUGGUCAACCCACAGACUCUUGAGAAAUAGUAAAUUGUUAACUUAAGCUACCGAGUUUGGGACGAAUUGUUAUGCAGUGAUAGAUAAAAGAGACACAUCUAAAUCCAUAACCACUGACAGGCCAGCAUAAGAGCCCAACAGAUAUUUAAACUUAUAAUUGGUAACGCUGACUGGAGGAUAUAGCUAGUUAAUGCUUUACUCAUGAACUAGACAGAGUCCAGUGACUGGCACAGCUGGAUACCCUCAGGCCUUCUCUUCUUCCCCCUCCCUCCUGGGCAGGUGGGGAGGCCCCUUCUGUGAGACAGAGAGCAGACGAGAACUUGCUCUCUGCAGAAAGGCUGGCUCCCCGGAGAAGGCGGCCAAGCUGAGCAUGCUCAGUGUCUUCCCCCAGACUCAUCCGUCAGACAACUCAGUCCUCCCACAGAGAACAGGGAGUGAUGGGUAGGGAGACAGGCCAACAGAGAUGGUCUGACUGGUCUUCCUCCAUGUGGAAAUAUGACGAAUAUGAGAAAAAGAGUGUCCCAGCAGUGACAAGGGCUCUGCCAAGGAGAAGCUGUGUUUGUGCUACUCAACACAGGCUGGACAGGGAAGACCUCUUUGAGGGGUUGACAUUUGAGCAGUGAUCUGGAUGGGGGGCCGUGGGGACAUCUGGAGAAGAGCUUCUAGGCAGAGACAGUGGUUAGGGUGUUUGCAGAGCAGCAGGGAGGCCCGUGUGCCUGAAGCUGGGGGCGGGGCAUGAGACGAGGAGAAGGGAUUGAGGUUUAGAGGUGGGCAGAGGCCAGAGCAUGGGGGCCAAGUGCACCUGGGAAGGAUGUCAGACUUUAUUUUACAUGUGAUGGGAAGUCACCAGAAGGUGAUCAAUGUUCCUUGAUAAGUGGGGUCUCCAGGUCACAAAGGCAAGGGCUUCAGUGUCCUGGUAGUUAGGUUUCCUGUUUGUUGGAGGUGUGGCUGAGCCAGGAAGAAGGGGCUGCAGGGCUCCUGUGUGUUGGUGAGGCCACCAAGCUGGAGGGGUGGAGACUCCAGGUGCUCAGUCACGUGCACUGCGAUCGGGUCCAACACCUGGCUGGUUACAGACACUUUCAGAACAAAAUGGCCAAACAAAAGGUGUUUGCUUUGCAAGACUUCUGGUCUGAGCCACAUGGGCAGUGGAAUUUCAGACAACAAACUUCACGUGAGUGCCUAUGUAAUGUUCAGGGCAUUCUACAGACACUGGGUGGGACGGAGGGGCAGCGAUGACUACAGUGGGCUCUGCUUGUCUUCCUGGAGAAGGAGAAGGAAGGUGAUGUCUCCAUAAUGAAAGGGAGAAUGCUGUCACCACCACAGGGAGUGCUGAGGGCCCUCAGAAGAUGCAGAGACCACAUACGAGAAGGGGAUUGGCUGAAGUUGCUGUGGCAUGGAAGAUAUGCUAUACAAACUUACGAGUAUAUUAUAUACACUGCUUUUCCAAAUACUCCUUGCAGGCUUAACCCUACGUGAGGAACUGGGCUAUGCACCCAGCACUUACAACAGUAGGCGUUCUGCAAAUUAUUGAUUGGCUGACUCUACACAGAUCAUCCUAUUUAGCGCCUACAAACAACUCUAUGAAGUAGGCAUCAUGCCCAUUUUACAGAUGAAGAAACUGAGACUUACGGGGGUUAAGGAACUUGUCUGAAGUCCCCGCCACCAGGAAGUGAUAGAGGCAGGACUGGCACAGCAGUUCUUCAGUAUUGAAGACUUCUCCGCAGAAGCAGAAAGGGUAGAGGCCUACCUCGGUUCCCCUCCAACUCUCUGGCUGGUCAACAUCUAAGGGCCUCCUCACCCUGAGAUGCUGUCUUUCUUUCCAUAGAAAGGGUGGGGCAGGCUCACAGGAAGCUGGGUCACCACCCUUUGCCUCCGGCUUCCCAGAGUAAAAAAUAACUUGCUGUUCCCGGAAGUACGUGCAUACUGCAGGAAGGACAUGGAAUAUUAGUCAAGGCUCCCUUUGUUCUGCAACUGCGGUAAAAAAUGUAGCUGCCUCUCUCUCCAGCUCCGCUCCCUUCUCUCCCAUCACCACCUCUUGUCUCCUCUCAUUCAGAAUAACUGGGAGAGCUUGUACUGGAAUUCCAGUUUUUCCUAAAGUGUGGAAAACUCGUCCCUGCUGGUAUGGCAAAUGAUCUUCACUGGGAAACAGCCAGACUUCUAAGGAAUCGUAAUUGUUAUGUAUGUCUUUCUACAGUCCUGUUUUUGGCAGGACAUACCGGGCUUCCAGUUAUUACAACAAUCAAAUAUUUCCCUCAUAAUUAUAUUUAAAUUUAAAACGUGAGUUGAUUUUAAGAAAAUUUUAACCGGUUAACAACUCCGGUGGUGUGGAGAUACGGCCAGAAUCACGAACAAGGAUGUAAAGGGCUCGAGCGUGGGAAAUACUCAUCUUAGUUCAGAGCCCAGUACACCAUCUCUUAAGAAGGGCUGUGCGAAUACCGGCAAAUUUUUUGGAAGAGCCCCGUCGGUGAGUCUAAGGGCUGGCUCUAGGCCGGCCCAGGAGCUGGAAGGACAGGAGUCUUGGCUGUGCCAUUCCCCCUGGGGGCCUGCGUGAGCCUCCUGGCUCUAGGCCGAGUUCCCCUUUUCUGCAAUUGAGGAGGUUGCUGCCCUUCCAGCCGGCGCCUUCUCCUUCUUUCACCCUCCUGCCAGCUCUGGAGCUUAGACCAGGAGACAGUGUAAGGGGAAACGAUUUCAUGUUUCACCUGCACACUCGCUUCCUUAUCAAAUACUCCUUGUGCCCCUCUGUGCACCGGGCACCUCUGCUCUCUCUAGGAAAGUCGUUACUUAAGGCCGUCUUGUCUCGGCCACCAAAGCCCAGGGCGCCACCUGCUGUCCCCAUGGAGCCAGUGCAGCCUCCGAUUUCGAGCCCCCUUCACCCGGAGGGAGAGGAUGAGAAUCCCCGGGAAAUCCGGGGACGCAGGUCUUUUGCGAGCAGUUGGCAAGGCCGAAAGGGGAUGCAAAGUAAAUGGAUGUGGGCAAUUGGAAGAAAAGCCUCCCACGGAUGGAAGGGCCCGGAGAGAACCGAAGGGAAGUGGGCAGCCGCCGCCGCCGCGUCUCGCCGUGCUUUUCUCUGGGAUAAACGCUUACGACUGGCACCUCCAGGCGACCAAGGGGCACUGGGUCUGCUCCCCACCGCAUCCCCGGGUGUGGAGAGAGCAGCUGGGGAGCUGCAUCAGAAUCUCAAUAAAUGGAUGAUGAAUGAAUUUAAUUGGGACAGUGCAUUCUUUUUUGCUGCUUUAAGUGGAGAGGAAGGCGAUGCAAGAUUCAAGGUACAGAAAAGGCACCUCCUCCCCCCGCCGCCCCGCAACACACACGGAAAUUGCUCCCCAAAGCUCUCUUUCUCAGCAGUCUCAGCGAGGAGGCGGGAACUCCUCUGAGUCCAGAAUGACAUCUCCAUGUCCGUCCGCCUGGGCCUGCCACCUCCCGCCCCCACCGCCAGUGCCCGCCCUCCUUCGCCUGGUGGACGCUUGAGCAAACAGCUCAAAGUCCAGAAUCCCAGGCCUGACUCCUGAAACCCUGCAUGGCGUGCGGGGGUGAGGCUGGACCAUCCAGUUUUAUCAGCUCCUUCAGCCUCUUCCGAAGGUUGGGGACCAGCCAGGCUUGGGAACCCAGCUCUAAGAGCCAGCAGAGCAAAAGAAGGAGGCCUUUCUGGUGUGGACCCCCAAAUUUUCGACUAUUUUUAGACCUGUGCUAUUUUGUUUACUGGAGCCGGGCAGUCAGAGACCUGGGUUCUGGCAUGAGCGCCCCUCUCUUCUACCCAGGGAGUUGCAGUUCCACGAGUGUUGAUAAAUGUUUGCACCCAGGUGUCCACUGCCACCACAUUCAAAUAUAGAACAGUGCUGUCACUCCACGUUUCCUUGUACCCACGGACCUCUGUUCUGCCACGAAAGAUUAGAUUUGCCAUUUCUAGAGCUUCCUGUAAAUAGAAACAUGCAGUAAGUAUUCUUUCAUGUCCGGCUCUCUCAGCAUGUUUUCAGACUCAUCCAAGUCACGUGUAUUAAUUUUUUUUUCUGACUAGUUUCCAUUGUAUGUAUAUACCCUAAUUUUUUCAUUCAUUUAUCUCUUGGUGGACAUUUGAGUUGUUUCCAGUUUUUGUCUAAUAUGAGUGAAGCUGCCAAGAACAUUCCUUAAGAUUUUGUGUGGAGGUAUACUUCCAUUUCUCUUAGGUAGAUACCUAGGAGUGGGAUUGCUGAGUCAUACUAUAAUGGGUAGCCUUUAAAAGGAAAAUGCCAAAUUAUUUUUCAAAGCGAUUUUGCCAUUUUACAUUCCCUUUAGCAAUGUAUAAGUGUCUUGGGUUGGGUUGCUCCGUGUCUAUACCAAUGCUUGAUAAUAUCGGUCUUUUGAUUUUUUUUUUAAACCUGACUGUUUUCUUAUUUUUAGCACUGUGGGUUUUUUGUUGUUGUUUUGGUUUGGUUUUGUUGUUUUUUUAAAAAUAUUUAUUUAUUUAUUUUUAUUUUUGGCUGCAUCAGGUCUUAGUUGCAGCACGCAGGAUCUUUUGUUGCGGUUUUCGGGCUUCUCUCUAGUUGUGGUGUGUGGGCUCCAGGGCAUGUGGGCUCCGUAGUUGUAGCACAUGGGCUCCAGAGUACAUGGGCUCUGUAGUUGCAGCACUCAGGCUCUCUAGUUGUGGCAUGUGGGCUCAGUAGUUGUGGUGUGCGGACUUAGUUGCCCCACGGCCUGUGGGAUCUUAAUUCCCCACCUAGGGUUUGAACCCGUGUCCCCUGUAUUGGAAGGUGGAUUCUUAACCACUGGACCACCAGGGAAGUCCCAAUGUUGGUCUUUUUAAUAUUAGCUAUUUCAUCGAGUGUGCAGUGGCAUCUCUUCAUUUUGAUUUUAACUUGGACUUUCUUGAUGACUAAUGAUGUUGAGUAUCUUUUCAUGGACUUAUUGGCCAUUUAUGUAAGUCUUCUUUUGCUAAGUGUCUACUCACAUUUUUUGCUCAUUUUUUAUUGGGCAUUGUCUUAUUAUUGAGUUGUAAGAGUUGUUUUUUAAAAAAUUUAUCUGGACACCAAUCCUUUUUCAACUAUAUGUGUUAUAUUUUCUCCCCCUCUGUGGCUUGCUCUUUCAUCUUUUAAAAUGAUAUCUUUAGGAGAGCAGGAGUUAAAUUUAGUUUUUCUUCUGCCAAGUGGAUUUUCAAGAUUUAAUUUUCAAAAUUUAUUUUGGUGCUGAGAAGUGGGAAGGCUAUUUAUUUGUUCACAUAACAUGCCUUAGUCCCCAGUGUUCCUCUGGCCAAGCACACUGCAUGGGAGGAAUCCAUCUGUCUCCCUGACUUGCUCCCAGUCAGUAAUGCCAGCUAGGAAGUGCCUUGGCCCUGACAUCUCAGCUGGAGGCUGCCAAGCAGAGGGGCCAGAGCUAAAUCCCAGUAUAAUGUACUGAAGGUCCAUCCAUGUUGUUGCAAGUGGCAGGAUAUCCUCCUUUCUCAAGAACACUCUGGCAAGCUGACCUGGGCAACGUGGACCAACCCUUUUACACAGACUACUAUGGAAAUGGAGUGGAGUAUGAGUCCUGCUUUGCCUAUGUGGUCCCUCAGUGUGAAGACUGAAGGCUGAGUUCUUAUCGUCGAGAAGGAAGGCUGAUUCAUUCCAUCCCUCCAGAGCCAGAAGACUUACAAGAAGAGCUGGUGUAGAAAGACAGUGCCUGGUACCAGGCUGGCUUAGUCCUGUGCCAGGGCUGGUGCCAUAUGGGAGAGGAGGCAGGAGGUGAGGAGAGGGGCUGGAUCUCAGCUCCAGUCUCCUUACCCCUCUCACCUCCUACUACAGGGUGUCUCUACCCUUCAGCCCAAUAGUGUUCACAGAUCUGACAGUCCAUGGAGAUUCCUUCUUCCUGGGCAAGUGAGGAAGAAGGUGGCAUGGGGAGAGGGACCUUGAAUAUUAAUUAAUUAAUUCAAGGCAACAUAUUAAUUAAUUAAAUUAAAAAUUGCAAUGAACAUCUC